Molecule: ribosomal RNA, 467 nt
Filed under: uncultured bacterium
Lineage: Bacteria
Description: partial 16S ribosomal RNA
Rfam family: Bacterial small subunit ribosomal RNA
Source: RNAcentral
AUGAACGCUGGCGGCGUGCUUAACACAUGCAAGUCGAACGGAAAGGCCCAAGCUUGCUUGGGUACUCGAGUGGCGAACGGGUGAGUAACACGUGGGUGAUCUGCUCUGCACUUCGGGAUAAGCCUGGGAAACUGGGUCUAAUACCGGAUAGGACCACUUCUUGGAUGUUGUGGUGGAAAGUUUUUUCGGUGUGGGAUGAGCUCGCGGCCUAUCAGCUUGUUGGUGGGGUAAUGGCCUACCAAGGCGUCGACGGGUAGCCGGCCUGAGAGGGUGUACGGCCACAUUGGGACUGAGAUACGGCCCAGACUCCUACGGGAGGCAGCAGUGGGGAAUAUUGCACAAUGGGCGCAAGCCUGAUGCAGCGACGCCGCGUGGGGGAUGACGGCCUUCGGGUUGUAAACUCCUUUCGCUAGGGACGAAGCGUUUUUGUGACGGUACCUGGAGAAGAAGCACCGGCUAACUACGUG